GUGAGACAGGUGCUGCAUGGCUGUCGUCAGCUCGUGUUGUGAAAUGUUGGGUUAAGUCCCGCAACGAGCGCAACCCUUAUCCUUUGUUGCCAGCGGUCCGGCCGGGAACUCAAAGGAGACUGCCAGUGAUAAACUGGAGGAAGGUGGGGAUGACGUCAAGUCAUCAUGGCCCUUACGACCAGGGCUACACACGUGCUACAAUGGCGCAUACAAAGAGAAGCGACCUCGCGAGAGCAAGCGGACCUCAUAAAGUGCGUCGUAGUCCGGAUUGGAGUCUGCAACUCGACUCCAUGAAGUCGGAAUCGCUAGUAAUCGUGGAUCAGAAUGCCACGGUGAAUACGUUCCCGGGCCUUGUACACACCGCCCGUCACACCAUGGGAGUGGGUUGCAAAAGAAGUAGGUAGCUAAACCUUCGGGAGGGCGCUUACCACUUUGUGAUUCAUGACUGGGGUGAAGUCGUAACAAGGUAACCGUAGGGGAACCUGCGGUUGGAUCACCUCCUUACCUUAAAGAAGC
RNAcentral lists this ribosomal RNA (516 nucleotides) under Escherichia coli. Its description in RNAcentral is "bacterial SSU rRNA". It matches the Rfam family "Bacterial small subunit ribosomal RNA", at positions 1029 to 1533 of the family's 1533-position model. The record is from RNAcentral. Lineage: Bacteria; Pseudomonadati; Pseudomonadota; Gammaproteobacteria; Enterobacterales; Enterobacteriaceae.